GGCUUGUUGAUAAUAAUUUUAAGUUAGACCUGCCCAAUGACUUGUUUAAUGGCCGCAGUAUUUUUGACUGUGCAAAGGUAGCAUAAUCACUAGUUUUUUAAUUGGAAGCUUGAAUGAAAGGUUUAAUGAAAAGAUAGCUGUCUCUGAAAAAAUUUAUUAAAAUUUUAUUUUUAAGUGAAAAAGCUUAAAUAUUUAUAGAAGACGAGAAGACCCUAUAGAGUUUUAUAUUUAGAUUACUGAUUUAACUUUAGGAUUAUUAAGGUAUCUAUAGUUUAAGUAUUUGGUUGGGGUGAUCACAAAAUUUAACUAACUUUUAUUAAAUUUUAACAUUAAUUUAUGAGUUUUUGAUCCUAAGUUUUAGAUUAUAAGAAAAAAUUACCUUAGGGAUAACAGCGUAAUUUUUUCUAGAGUUCUUAUCGAAAAAAAAGGUUGCGACCUCGAUGUUGGAUUAAAAUUUGUGGCUGGUGAAGAAGCUGGCAUUCUAGGUCUGUUCGACCUUUAAAAUUUUACAUGAUCUGAGUUUAAACCGGUGUAAA
RNAcentral lists this ribosomal RNA (536 nucleotides) under Trigonopterus sp. 1029 AR-2022a. RNAcentral describes it as "partial large subunit ribosomal RNA". It matches the Rfam family "Bacterial large subunit ribosomal RNA", at positions 1825 to 2625 of the family's 2925-position model. Lineage: Eukaryota; Metazoa; Arthropoda; Insecta; Coleoptera; Curculionidae. The record is from RNAcentral.